CAUACAUAUCCUGACAUAAAUUUGGUUGGACAUGUACGGAACUGGUGGAGAGAAGGCGAUGCCCUGGAAAUCAUUGAUUCAUCUCUGGGUGAAUCGUACCCUGUCAAUAAAUUGUGAGAUGCAUCCAAACCGCCCUCUUGUGUAUGCACGAAUAUGCCACUGACCGGCCAACAUUGUCCGCGGACGUUUUCAUGCUAGGCAACGAGCUAGGUAGCAGUUCCUUCCCCAAAACAGCUGCAAUUUUAUUGAGGAUGAGUCGUACUACUGGAGCUAAUUCUAUAAAUGAUGUCACAUGUACAGACGUCGAAGGUCGUUAAGCAUCAUAAAUAGAAGCUCUAAAGUUGUGUUAAACUAGCAAGUAAUUAAUGUAUAAAACUAUUUUAACACUAUCUAUUUUAACAAACUUUGAAUGUUUUAA
Molecule: non-coding RNA, 418 nt
Organism: Malus domestica (apple)
Lineage: Eukaryota; Viridiplantae; Streptophyta; Magnoliopsida; Rosales; Rosaceae
Source: RefSeq, a predicted model, not a curated record